This 61-nucleotide transfer RNA is filed under the name Tenebrionoidea sp. 10 KM-2017. RNAcentral describes it as "tRNA-Cys". The record is from RNAcentral. Lineage: Eukaryota; Metazoa; Arthropoda; Insecta; Coleoptera.
AUUUCUGUAGUCAACAAUGAUUUUAAAUUGCAAAUUUAAAGGUAGCUUUAGUUUAGAAAUU